RNAcentral lists this ribosomal RNA (248 nucleotides) under uncultured bacterium. RNAcentral describes it as "partial 16S ribosomal RNA". It matches the Rfam family "Bacterial small subunit ribosomal RNA", at positions 523 to 769 of the family's 1533-position model. The record is from RNAcentral.
AUACGUAGGUGGCAAGCGUUGUCCGGAAUUACUGGGUGUAAAGGGCGUGUAGGCGGGUAAUGUAAGUCAGAUGUGAAAUUCCGAGGCUCAACCUCGGCGCUGCAUCUGAAACUAUAUUUCUUGAGUGCUGGAGAGGAAAGCGGAAUUCCUAGUGUAGCGGUGAAAUGCGUAGAUAUUAGGAGGAACACCAGUGGCGAAGGCGGCUUUCUGGACAGUAACUGACGCUGAGGCGCGAAAGCGUGGGGAGC